UUUCCAAAAUGAAUCAAUGUUGGACUCUCCACCUUUAACGUUGUUCAAUGUCAACGUUUAUCAUUAACAAUCAAAGGGCAAGAAUCUCAUCAUUUUUACUUAACCCAAUCAAUAACCAACCCCUCCUUUUCUUAAACCAUUUGGUUUUACGCUCUACCAUUCACACACCAACGACAAACCUCAAACCCACUUCUCUGAUGACCGGAGCUCCAUCAAAUCGUCUUCUCCAUCAAAACAAAAAGGAUGCCGAUCAGAAUAAUGAUAAUGAAUCUAAUAAGAGGGAGUACAUGUAUAUGUCUACUUCAAACAUUAUGAUUAAGUUGAAGUGUGGGUGAACUUUACCCUCACAGUUGUGAUGAUCCAUGUGGUGGUCAUGGUCUACGGUAGCCCAAUCCUCAACCUGCGGUAUCCACUUAGGCAUCAAAGGAUUGACUAGUCACCACCAAGAACAUAGCAUUAUAUUACAUAGGAUAACUAAACUAUAAGUAUUAGGGAGUUUUUGAUGAUCUUGAUGUUAAAAAGUAACUAAUUUUUACUAAGAGCAUGGGUUGACUGUGUAAUUCAAACACUUAGAAUGUGUUGAAUAUUUAAUUAGUUGCUCUGGUU
This is a long non-coding RNA of Helianthus annuus (common sunflower), 606 nucleotides long. RefSeq lists it as uncharacterized. Lineage: Eukaryota; Viridiplantae; Streptophyta; Magnoliopsida; Asterales; Asteraceae. The record is from RefSeq and is a predicted model, not a curated record. The transcript has 2 exons.